RNAcentral lists this long non-coding RNA (780 nucleotides) under Olea europaea (common olive). Its description in RNAcentral is "long non-coding RNA (OEUR_LNC009058)". The record is from RNAcentral. Lineage: Eukaryota; Viridiplantae; Streptophyta; Magnoliopsida; Lamiales; Oleaceae.
ACGAAUUCAAAAUAUUUUAGGCCACAAAUUAUUCAUCGAUGACAUAUUUAAAAUUUUUAUUGGUCACAACUCAUUUAUCCAUUGCAACUUAUUGAAUUAAUUUGUCACGACUAAUUUUUCGAUUACAACUUAAUUAUUUGUUAGUCACAAUUGAAAGUUACAGAUACAAUUUUUAGGUCACAUAUUCAAUUGAGAGUCACAGUCACAAUUUUCAGCACCGCCAACAUCGUUACCAAUGCAGCUAACACUGCCCCAAAUCAUUCCACAACCACCACACCAAACCAUUCCACAAUCAAACCACAGAUCAAAUCAUUCCACACCACCGCACCAAAACAUUCCACAACCACGCACCUCCGCCGCGCACACAUACACACAGUCGAUCUGCACAGGUUGUUGCUUUUGGUUGUAGUAGUGUCACACCCAUGCACAUACACACCACCGUUAUCCACCACCCACACACGUACAUGCCGUCGCAGCGCGCACGCCACCACCCACAUAACAAAUCCACAACAGAUCUCUCUCACUUCUCUCGUUGUCGAUCUACGCUGCAUCAACAGACUCUGAUUCCAGCAGCGGUGGCCGGAGCAAGUUCUUCAUCACCGGAGCAACUUUUUCAUUGUCGCCGCCCUCAGAUUACAAUGAGAAACGAGAGAAGAGAGAAUGGUGACUGGUGUGAGAGAGAGAGAGAGAGAGAGAGAGAGAGGAACGGGGCUUAGAGAGAGAAUGGGUUUUGUGGCUCUACUGGUUCUAAUGUAAUGGGGGAGUUAAUUAAGGAUGGAU